Zonotrichia leucophrys gambelii is the source of this 1816-nucleotide long non-coding RNA. RefSeq lists it as uncharacterized. The record is from RefSeq and is a predicted model, not a curated record. The transcript is spliced from 3 exons. Lineage: Eukaryota; Metazoa; Chordata; Aves; Passeriformes; Passerellidae.
AGUGGAUGCUUAUGGUCCUUUGAAGUGGUGUGAUGGUUUUGUGCAUGGGCAGAUGCUGAAAGCCUUCUGAAAUGCGAGAAGAUUUUUUUGCUGUAUCUUUGAAUCUCUAUUGCCAUAGAAGAUAAAAAAGUACCAUGGCUAUGCAACAAACUGUCUUCUUGUUUUUGAGAUCGACUGUUCUGUCUGAUGGGAGAAUUGAUAAUCACAGGGCAAAAUCGAUCAAGGCUCUGGGGCAACUGAUUACCAGCGAGUCAGCUGAAGCAUAUCCUGCACAGAGGACAAAUUGAUGGAGUUCUCCAGUUGCUAAGGGAGCUGCUGGAGGAGACUGAAACCCAGCAUGUGUAUUUCAGACUAAACUAGUACUGGGGCAGAAAUUGGGAACAGGCCCUCAUUCUUUGUCCAUCCAUACUUGCAAAUGUUGGGGUGCUAGAAAAAAUAUUUAUGGACAGAUUCUUAUUUACAUUCUGGUACCGUUGUAUAGCUGGGUAGUAGAGCUUUUAUGUAAAAUUAAGGGGGGAAAGAAAGGGCACUGAAUUAUAAAGUGGUAUAAAUAGCUUUUCUGUAAAUGUGGCUCUGACCUCAAGUAUUAGGAGCUCCAGAGUGAAAGAAUAGCAUUGUUAAAAGAUAACAGGGCAGAGAGGCUUAAAUUCAGAUACCGAAUUGCUUUGCAGACGUUAGGCAUGCAAAAAUACAAGGCAAAAACUUGUUAGGAUGGGUAAGACAGUCUGAUACAUAAAGACAUUUGCCUCUAGGUAAAUCAGGAGUUCUCCUGUAAUCAACACAUUGGUGUAAAUUGAUCCUGGAGCAAGAUAGGACUCUGAGAUAACACUUCUCAAAUAACCUCCUCUAAUUUUGGAAGGAUUGUCAGCUCACCACUGCAGCACAAGAGGAUAAAAGGAGAAUGCUUGGGAACUAAUUAACAAGUUACCAGCUGAGAGGGUCUCAUUAUUUUGAAAUGUAAAUACUUUUGUUGAUUAAAUCUGGAUCAUUAGCUCUGGUCUUUGAUAGAGGAAGUUUCAUCAGAAGUGAAAAAUGAGGACGCAAGGAACUCUGUGGUGUUAUUGAAAUAUCUGAUCCUUUGGGAAGUGUCCCAAGAAUGUCCAGAGAGCUGAACAUACAGGCUUUAAUAUUUAAACUGUCCUGUGUAUCUGGAGCUGUGAGAGGCUCCUGCUCUCUUCAAACUAUGCACAAAGAAAAACACGACUUACACUGACCAGCAGCUACCAAACAGUUUAAUGGCAAAACAAAUUCCUGUUUGGCAGGAUCUUGGUAAUGUUUCAAAUAAAUCUAAGCUCUAGCAUAGAACACACAAAAGUUUCUGGUCAGAUUCUUACCACAAAUUUUUGUCUACUUCAGAUGCUUGAAGUUCCUGUUCAUGAAAUCAAAUUUCUACACAUGGAAAAAGAUAUAUUGUGGAUUUAAACACCUUCCCAACUGACUUUCAUAAUAAAAUUAAUUUCAACACCUACUGAAAGGCACAAUUUUUUGUAUGCAAGGUUAAACUGUGUCCUGGUUAUCGAGCAGGGUAGAGGAAAAACAUUGAAGUGAGCAAAACAACCAUGAGUAACAAAGCUGUCUUUUCAAAACUUCUGGUGCUGUGCCAUGCAUUUCUAGAUCUGAGAUAUCUGUUCAGCUUCCAAACAGCCAUAUGUCAGGAAGCCAAGACCAUAGUAUUUUGAUUUUGCAAUCUACUUUUCCUCUGUCUUCUUUCUGAGCGUAGCAGGAGACUCCCCAGACCUAUUAUGACUAAAAAUCACGUGAACUUCCAUCUGCCUUGGGGGGCUGCUAUAUGAAAUACAGUUACCUAUAUAUAUGG